UGAAUCCGCGCGGGAGAGUCCCCGGCAGUCCGUCUGCCCGGGGCGCCGAAGGAGCAAGUCCCUCCCUUGAAUCUCUCAGGCCCCGUUACCGCGCGGGCGAG
Molecule: non-coding RNA, 101 nt
Filed under: Streptomyces yokosukanensis
Lineage: Bacteria; Bacillati; Actinomycetota; Actinomycetes; Kitasatosporales; Streptomycetaceae
Description: Glycine sequence
Rfam family: Glycine riboswitch aptamer
About the family: This family represents the bacterial glycine riboswitch. Glycine riboswitches usually consist of two metabolite-binding aptamers domains with similar structures in tandem. The aptamers cooperatively bind glycine to regulate the expression of downstream genes.
Source: Rfam by way of RNAcentral